RNAcentral lists this ribosomal RNA (256 nucleotides) under uncultured bacterium. Its description in RNAcentral is "partial 16S ribosomal RNA". It matches the Rfam family "Bacterial small subunit ribosomal RNA", at positions 524 to 776 of the family's 1533-position model. The record is from RNAcentral.
UACGAAGGGGGGCUAGCGUUGCUCGGAAUCACUGGGCGUAAAGGGUGCGUAGGCGGGUCUUUUAAGUCAGGGGGUGAAAUCCUGGAGCUCAACUCCAGAACUGCCUUUGAUACUGAGGAUCUUGAGUUCGGGAGAGGUGAGUGGAACUGCGAGUGUAGAGGUGAAAUUCGUAGAUAUUGGGAAGAACACCAGUGGCGAAGGCGGCUAACUGGUCCAGCACUGACGCUGAGGUGCGAAAGCGUGGGGAGCAAACAGG